Molecule: ribosomal RNA, 810 nt
Filed under: uncultured Acidobacteriota bacterium
Lineage: Bacteria; Pseudomonadati; Acidobacteriota
Description: bacterial SSU rRNA
Rfam family: Bacterial small subunit ribosomal RNA
Source: RNAcentral
AAAGUCCCGCAAGGGGCAAGUAGAGUGGCAAACGGGUGAGUAACGCGUGGGCGACCUACCUUCGAGUGGGGGAUAACCUUCCGAAAGGAGGGCUAAUACCGCAUGACAUACCGUGUUUGGAUACACGGACAUCAAAGCCGGGGAUCGCAAGACCUGGCGCUUGAAGAGGGGCCUACGUCCGAUUAGCUAGUUGGUGAGGUAACGGCUCACCAAGGCUCCGAUCGGUAUCCGGCCUGAGAGGGCGGACGGACACACUGGAACUGAGACACGGUCCAGACUCCUACGGGAGGCAGCAGUAGGGAAUUGUUCGCAAUGGGCGCAAGCCUGACGACGCAACGCCGCGUGGAGGAUGAAGACCUUCGGGUCGUAAACUCCUUUCGACCGAGAUGAAUACCUCCGGAUCUAAUACAUCCGGAGGCUGACAGUAUCGAGGGAAGAAGCCCCGGCUAACUCCGUGCCAGCAGCCGCGGUAAUACGGGGGGGGCAAGCGUUGUUCGGAAUUACUGGGCGUAAAGGGUUCGUAGGUGGCCUACUAAGUCAGACGUGAAAUCCCUCAGCUUAACUGGGGAACUGCGUCUGAUACUGGUGGGCUUGAGUGCAGGAGAGGAACGCGGAAUUCCAGGUGUAGCGGUGAAAUGCGUAGAUAUCUGGAGGAACACCGGUGGCGAAGGCGGCGUUCUGGACUGCAACUGACACUGAUGAACGAAAGCCAGGGGAGCAAACGGGAUUAGAUACCCCGGUAGUCCUGGCCCUAAACGAUGAAUGCUUGGUGUGGCGGGUAUCGAUCCCUGCCGUGCCGAAGUUAACGCG